This 266-nucleotide RNase P RNA is filed under the name Stenotrophomonas maltophilia. RNAcentral's name for it is "partial RNase P RNA component class A". It matches the Rfam family "Bacterial RNase P class A", at positions 1 to 270 of the family's 367-position model. Rfam says of the family: Ribonuclease P (RNase P) is a ubiquitous endoribonuclease, found in archaea, bacteria and eukarya as well as chloroplasts and mitochondria. The record is from RNAcentral. Lineage: Bacteria; Pseudomonadati; Pseudomonadota; Gammaproteobacteria; Lysobacterales; Lysobacteraceae.
GGAGCCGGCCAGACAGUCGCGUCAUCCUUCGGGGGUGCCGAGGAAAGUCCGGGCUCCAUAGGGCAAGGUGCCAGGUAACGCCUGGGCGGCGCAAGCCGACGGAAAGUGCAACAGAAAGAUACCGCCUACGCCUUCUUCGGAAGGCCGGUAAGGGUGAAAUGGUGCGGUAAGAGCGCACCGCGAGUCUGGCAACAGACCGGCACGGCAAACCCCACCUGGAGCAAGACCAAAUAGGGAUCCUUUGGCGCGGCCCGCGUUGGAUCCGG